AACGCACAUUGCGCCCGCCAGUAUCCUGGCGGGCAUGCCUGUCCGAGCGUCAUUUCAACCCUCGAGUCUUUCUGCUCGGUGUUGGGGUCCUACGUGCUACCUAACUGUAGGCCCUGAAAUGCAGUGGCGGGCUCACUGUGGUCCCGGGCGUAGUAGAUACGUCGCCUGGGGGCCGUGGCGAGCGCCUGCCGUUAAACGAAACAGAAAAUGCUCUGCUUUUCUUUUUAAAAUACAGGUUGACCUCGGAUCAGGUAGGAAUACCCGCUGAACUUAA
This 274-nucleotide unclassified non-coding RNA is filed under the name uncultured fungus. Its description in RNAcentral is "sequence contains ITS2". The stretch from base 1 to 52 matches the Rfam family "5.8S ribosomal RNA", at positions 103 to 154 of the family's 154-position model. The record is from RNAcentral. Lineage: Eukaryota; Fungi.